Molecule: long non-coding RNA, 6286 nt
Organism: Spinacia oleracea (spinach)
Lineage: Eukaryota; Viridiplantae; Streptophyta; Magnoliopsida; Caryophyllales; Amaranthaceae
Exons: 9
Source: RefSeq, a predicted model, not a curated record
CCCAUGUUCCAAUUUCACGUAAACAACCCUCCUCUCCUCUCAUUCAACUUCACGUGAAAAACCCAAACAGCAAAACCUCCUUCUCUCCUGCCGCCCUGCCGCCGCCCAGCCGCCGGACCUCUACCGUGUUCUCGCCGCCGCAACCACAGAAGCUCCGUGAGCUUUCCUCGUCGUCGGCGCAACCACCUGCGCAGCCGCCGCGCAGAUCCCGACCACCGGCCCGUGCACGCCGCACAACCUCGCUGCCACCACGCACCGCCGUGUGCCGACCACCCUCGUCGUUGCGGCGCUGCCAUUGCCGCCGGCCAGCAGUACCUUCUUCUUCUUUUGGCGGAGAAUUCUCUAUAGGUGACUUUUGAAUUAUUAAAGUGGUCUUGCAGUUUGUUUACACAAGUCUCUAAGGAUCAAUAAGCGUUGCCCAUCUACAGGUUUGAAGAUAUAUGAUGCAUCAUUGGGAUCGGGAUUAGAGAGUUUGUAGUUAUAUUUGUUUUGUUAAGUGAUUUGGUUCGUUAACUUAGACUUGAAAUUUGUCGUACUAUUCGUAUUUCCUUAUUUUCGUUAAUUGGUUUUUGGACUUAAUAUGUAAUCGAUUAUUAUGAACCUAAAAGUUAGUUUUAUGUUUUCCGCUGCAAAAUUCUGAAUAAGCCGUUACGUUUUCACACGGGCGAUAAUACUUUGAUAAUUCUCUAUAGGUAUAUUUAUAAAAGGGUUAUUUUAGAAAAAGGGAAUUGUCGGGGUGUUACAAAGUGGUAUCUAGAAGCUUAUGGUUUUAUUUCAAUAAUUUUUAGGCGCCUAAACUAACUAGUUUUCUAAAACGAAUUUUCUAGAAUCGAGCUCCUACGUAUUAUAGUGUUCAAAAAUUGGUACUUUUUUUUUGGGGGGCGAUUUCCUUUUAUCUUGUUUGAAAGCAUAUUAAUAUUUCUUAUGUAAGUUCGAACUUGACUUAUGUAUUUGAAACUUUUCGUUUAUUCGAAUUAAGUACUUUCUUUUUAUUUUCGAAUUUAACUAAAUAUAUUCGAAAAAAAAAGAAAAAAAGAAAAAAAUAUAUAUAUAUUCUUUUAUUUUAUUUAUUCGUUUAAUAAAAUUAUUUCUUACUAAUCGUUCUUUUUAUUCUUUGAAUUCUUCAAUGUUUGACAUAUUAUGAUUUAUUAUGAGAGAUGGGUAAUAUAGGAAAGGGCAUAUAGGAUAGAAUUAUAUGUGCAUUAGUAGCUAGUUAAUUCUAGCAUAAGAAGUUAAUUUUUAUGUGCAUGUGUUAAAUGUUUGAGUGUUGCAUUUCAAUGUGCAUAAAAGAAAUUGUUUGAUUCCACCAAACUUAUUGUUUUUAUUGAACUUUGAUUAUGGUUUGGUUAUUAUUAGUGAGACCUUAAGCUGUUUGUUCAUGAAUAAAAUGUUUUUUCCAAGUGCACCAACAUAGUAUCCCUUGAGAAGAUCGAUGAAUACUGAGGAUCUAGAUUUCACUCCACAAGUUUCCAAGGAAAGAACAGCUAGGAAAGAUGCCUUAAACAGUUGAAGUUGUAAUAGUUAGUUAGUUCUUAAAUGUUUUGGAGAAUAAGUAGCAAAGCUACAACAGUUUAAAGUUAAAGCAAUAGGAGUUUGAGUUAUUAUUUAUUCUUUUCAAGGAUGUAAUAAACCUUUAUAGAAUUAGCAAUAAAAGUUAAAGUAUUAUUUUCAUUUUGAGAAUUCCAUAAUACACUAAGCUUUAAGUAGCACGCAAGGGAUUAAUUCUUUUUAUUGUUUGCAUACUCGAUGUGAAUUGUGGAUCAAUUUAAUUGCCACAAAAAUAGUAGAUGAUUUGAGUGCAUAAGGGAAAUGAGGGGUAAUCUAGACCCUUAUGACUAAUAUGAUUCAAAAUAUUAUGCCUUAUGUGCGGAAUGUGAAUAUUCUUUAUGGAUGAGUGACGAUGGUUACUCUAAUAUUGUUGUACUUUCUUGAAUAAGUGUUUGUUGAUGUGAUCCCUUGAUCAAAUCUUUUCCUUUAAUGAAUACAUAUGAGUUAUAUUUCGAACCUAAAGUAGAAUAUAUAUUAAUUUCAGCGUGUUAUAGAAUGACCAACCAUAAUGACUUAGUUGUUGCUAUUUGCCUCUUGGCGGAAAAGCUGGCCCAAGAGAGAACUGAGCGUUCCGAUUCUGCUGGGGACAUGUUUGAGAGACUAGCCAAAGUUAAGUCACCAUACUUUAAGGGGCAAACUGAUCUUACCUUUAUAGAGAACUAGGUUAGAGAGUUUGAGAAAUUGUUUGGGGCUGUGAACUGUCCUGAGAAUAUGAGAGUGGGUCAAGUUGUCAUGUAUUUGAAAGAUGAAGCUGGUUUAUGGUGGAGAGAUAAUAGAGUUAGGCUUAGCACUGCUGAGAGAUUCAAUUAGGAUUCGUUUUUUACUGCCUUAAGGAAAAAGUUUUAUCAUCCUUUUUGAGAAAGCAAAAGGCACAAGAAUUCAUAAACCUUAGGAUGGGAAGUAUGACCAUUUCCGAUUACUAUAGCAAAUUUAUAGCACUGUCGAGGUUUGCACCUGAGGUUGUAGCCACAGAGGAGCUAAAGGCUCGGAGGUUUGAGCAAGGUUUGAUUAAUGAGAUCCAAUUAGGAUUAGGUGGGGAAACCUUUACAUCUUUGGAUAUUGUGUAUGGGAAAGCUGCUCAUAUUUAUGGUUUGCAGUUUAGAAGGGACAAGAAAAAUAUUGUUGUUGGGGAGAAAAGAAAAAAGUUUAAUGCUGGGGAAAACCAAGGGAAUUUCAAGGGGAAUAUCAAUGAAAAUGGGAAUGGAUAUGGAAACUUUCAAGGAAGGAACAAACAGGGGCACAACAAUAGGAACCAAUCUGAGAGAGUGUAUCAAUGUAAGAUGUGAAAUAACAACCAUCCUGGUAGGAAUUGUAAGGGAGAAUUAGUGAACUGUAACUAUUGUCAGAAAACGGGGCAUAGGAAGUAUGAGUGCUUUACUAAGCAGAAAAAGGAACAAAAUGGUAAUGAGAGUGGUAACCAGGUGAAGUCGGGAUUUAACCAGUCAAGAAAUUAGAGUUCGAAGCCUAUAGGGUACAGCCAAGGAAACCUCCAUAAGUCUGCUAAUUAGAAUAACAACCAUAACAAGGCCCCGGGUAAACUGUCUGUGAUAAGUCAAAAUGAAGCUGAACGACCUGUUGACUUAGUUUCUGUUACUUUUCUAUUAACUCUGUGCUAGUUAGAAAGUUAUUUGAUUCAGGGAAAGAUUAUUCUUUUAUUUCGUCAUCUCUUAUUAAGAGUCCGAAGUUAGUAGAUUUUGAGGUGAUUGAUUUACCCGUUAGUAUUCCUACUAUUGUAACCAUAAGGUGUACCAAAUUGUUUAAGAACUUGCCUUGUGAACUAUUUUUCGGUUGUGUGAGCUAGAUGUGAGUUAAGAAGUCGGAAUGAAGAUCGAGGAUGUUCCAAUUGUGAAUGAAUUCAUGGAUGUGUUUCCUAGUGAGAUUGCAGGUAUGCCACUUGCUAAGAGCCGUUGAGUCCCCUAUAGACUUAGUUCCUAGAAUGACGCAUAUAUCUAGAGCACCAUAUAGAAUGACACCUCCUGAAAUGAGCUAAUUAAGACAAAGUUGCAAGAUUUGUUUGGUCAAGGAAUAUACUAGGCCUAGUACAUCACCGUGGGGAGCUCCUGUUUUGUUUGUUAAGGAGAAAGAUAAGUGUAUGGAAUUAUGCAUCGAUUUUAGGAAGCUAAACACCAUCAAGAACAAUUAUCCCUUACCUAGGAGAGAUGACAUAUUGGAUCAAUUGAAUUGGGCGAGUGUGUUCUCGAAGACUGAAUCGUGUUUGAAGUACCACCAAUUGAGGAUAGCUGAUAAGGGCCUAAGACCUCAUUAGGACUCGUUAUUGUCAUUAAGGGUUUAGAGUAACGUCUUUUGGGUUAACCAAUGCACCUGCCAUAAUUAUGGAUUUGAUGAAUAAGAUUUUCCACGAUUUCCGAAUUAAGUUCGUUAUUAUGUUAUUGAUGAUAUCCUGAUUUAUUCAAGGAAUGAGAAAGAGCAUGACAAACACUUGAGGAUUAUUUUGGAGACGCUUACAAAGAAUCUAGUUUUUUUUUUAAAUGAAGUAUGCAAAUCGUGAAGUCAUGUGUGUAUAAGUGACACCAACGUAAAAGUGAAGGACUAAAUUGAUUGAGAACUAUGUUACGUACGGGAAUAAAUUUAAGAGAAAAUUUGAGUGGUCAAGGAUCGUUAGAAAUCAUUUGUUGUCUGGAAAAGAUGAAAGGAAAUACAUGAAUUGGUGCAAGAGCUAAGGGUUAAUCUCAAAAGUUAUACACCCCUGAAAAGCGUAAUGAGGUUCGGUAAAAAGGAAAAGUUGAAUAGAAAGAGUUUAUGUAGAUCCUGCUAAGAUUCAAGCUGUGAGUGAGUGACCUACUCCAAAGAACGUGUCCGAUAUUUGAAGUUUUCUAAGCCUAGAUGGCUAUUAUAGGAGGUUGUGAAAGACUUUUCGAAGAAAGAAAAACCAGCGACCAACUUGUUGAAAAAGGAAUCGAAAUUCAAGUGGAGUGAGAAAUGUGAAGAAGCUUCCCAGAUUUUAAAGGAAUGUUUGACCUCUGAACCUGUUGUCGUGUCAAUUGAAACCUUAUGAGGCUAAUUACCCUAUGAAUGACCUAGAGCUAGCUGCUAUUGUGUUAUCUGUGAAUAUUUGAAGACAUUACCUUUAUAUGAAAACAUGUUAGAUCCUUAUCGAUCAUAAAAGUUUGAAAUUUUAUCAAAAAGGGUCCAGUUGAAUCUUGUGGACAACAUUGAAAAUGAUACUGCUUUCCACUCUGCAACUGAUGGUCAGCCUGAGAGCACUAACCAAACCAUGGGAGAUAUGUUGAGAGCAUGUACUAUUGAACUUGAAGAGAAUUUGGGAGAUCAUUUAGAUUUGAUUGAAUUUUCGUUCAUCAAUAGUUACCAUGCGAGCAUUACGAUGUCACAUUUUGAGGAAUUGCAUGGAAAGAAGUGUAGAAGUCCACUUGCUGGAAUGAUUUUUGUGAAAAUGUUGUAUUGGGAACAGAAUUAGUUGAAGGAAAACUAUCCAAAGUUAUUCCCUGAGAUGAGUUACGAGGGCGUAACUCGUUUUCUUUAAGAGGGGUAGAAUGCGAUAGAAAUUCGCACUUUUUUACCUGUUUUAUGGUGAUUUUAUGCAUUUUAUGCCCAUUUUUAUAACUUAUACAUGUUGAUGUAAAGCAAAUAGAUUCUCCACAUAAGAAAAGGAUGUUCAUGAGUAACACAAACAGCUUUAAUUGAGUUGGCAAAAGAGUGCACAUAGGUGGCACAAGUACUCCUCUAGUGAGAAUAAGUUAAAAUCUUUUGGGGAAAUGUGGGAAUUUCCGUGUCAAGUUUCGGGACGAAACUUCUUUUAAGAGGGGUAGAUUGUAAUCCCCCGUAAAUUUAUGAAUUUUAUUAAAUAUAUUUUAACGUAUAUUACUUAUAUUUAAAUAGAAUUUAUGAAUUUUAGUAAUAAAAAUAUAAUUAACGUAUAUUUAUUUUAUUUUAUUUACGUUUUAAAUAUUUUAACGAUUUAUGAAAUUAAAAGUAAUUUUAGAAUUUUACGUUGAAAAGAAUUCGAAUUACGAAAACGCGUUCGAUUGAAUUUGGAUAAACAAUCCUAACUAUUUUUGGAUUCGAACAACCUCAAUUUUAGUCCUAGCCCAAGUUGGCAAAUCCCAAAGAAGUAAACCCAUAUCCCAACCCAUGUUCCAAUUUCACGUAAACAACCCUCCUCUCCUCUCAUUCAACUUCACGUGAAAAACCCAAACAACAAAACCUCCUUCUCUCCUGCCGCCCUGCCGCCGCCCAGCCGUCGGACCUCUACCGUGUUCUCGCCGCCGCAACCACAGAAGCUCCGUGAGCUUUCCUCGUCGUCGGCGCAACCACCAGCGCAGCCGCCGCGCAGAUCCCGACCACCGGCCCGUGCAUGCUGCACAACCUCGCUGCCACCACGCACCGCCGUGUGCCGACCACCCUCGUCGUUGCGGCGCUGCCAUUGCCGCCGGCCAGCAGUACCUUCUUCUUCUUUUGGCGGAGAAUUCUCUAUAGGUGACUUUUGAAUUAUUAAAGUGGUCUUGCAGUUUGUUUACACAAGUCUCUAAGGAUCAAUAAGCGUUGCCCAUCUACAGGUUUGAAGAUGAUGCAUCAUUGGGAUCGGGAUUAGAGAGCUUGUAGUUAUAUUUGUUUUGUUAAGUGAUUUGGUUCGUUAACUUAGACUUGAAAUUUGUCGUACUAUUCGUAUUUCCUUAUUUCCGUUAAUUGGUUUUUGGACUUAAUAUGUAAUCGAUUAUUUAUGAACCUAAAAGUUAGUUUUAUGUUUUCCGCUGCAAAA